Molecule: small RNA, 29 nt
Filed under: Bombyx mori (domestic silkworm)
Lineage: Eukaryota; Metazoa; Arthropoda; Insecta; Lepidoptera; Bombycidae
Description: ovarian small RNA-8288
Source: RNAcentral
UGAUAGUGUCAAUCCAAGUUAGACUUGGC